Molecule: ribosomal RNA, 801 nt
Filed under: uncultured Bacillota bacterium
Lineage: Bacteria; Bacillati; Bacillota
Description: bacterial SSU rRNA
Rfam family: Bacterial small subunit ribosomal RNA
Source: RNAcentral
AAAGUCCCGCAAGGGAUAAGUAGAGUGGCAAACGGGUGAGUAACACGUGGGUGACCUGCCUCUGAGUGGGGGAUAACGUCCCGAAAGGGACGCUAAUACCGCAUAACAUCCUGCCUUUGAACAGGUGGAGAUCAAAGCUGGGGAUCGCAAGACCUAGCGCUUGAAGAGGGGCCCGCGUCUGAUUAGCUAGUUGGUGAGGUAACGGCUCACCAAGGCUUCGAUCAGUAUCCGGCCUGAGAGGGCGGACGGACACACUGGGACUGAGACACGGCCCAGACUCCUACGGGAGGCAGCAGUGGGGAAUUGUUCGCAAUGGGCGCAAGCCUGACGACGCAACGCCGCGUGGAGGAUGAAGACCUUCGGGUCGUAAACUCCUUUCGAUCGAGACGAAUGGCUUCCGGGCGAAUAUCCCGGAGGAUUGACGGUACCGAGAGAAGAAGCCCCGGCUAACUCCGUGCCAGCAGCCGCGGUAAUACGGGGGGGGCAAGCGUUGUUCGGAAUUACUGGGCGUAAAGGGCUCGUAGGCGGCCAACUAAGUCAGACGUGAAAUCCCUCGGCUUAACCGGGGAACUGCGUCUGAUACUGGAUGGCUUGAGAUUGGGAGAGGGAUGCGGAAUUCCAGGUGUAGCGGUGAAAUGCGUAGAUAUCUGGAGGAACACCGGUGGCGAAGGCGGCAUCCUGGACCAACACUGACGCUGAGGAGCGAAAGCCAGGGGAGCAAACGGGAUUAGAUACCCCGGUAGUCCUGGCCCUAAACGAUGAAUGCUUGGUGUGGCGGGUAUCGAUCCCUGCCGUGCCGAA